CCUACGGGGAGCAGCAGUGAGGAAUAUUGGUCAAUGGACGAGAGUCUGAACCAGCCAAGUAGCGUGAAGGAUGACUGCCCUAUGGGUUGUAAACUUCUUUUAUAUGGGAAUAAAAUGUUCCACGUGUGGGAUUUUGUAUGUACCAUAUGAAUAAGGAUCGGCUAACUCCGUGCCAGCAGCCGCGGUAAUACGGAGGAUCCGAGCGUUAUCCGGAUUUAUUGGGUUUAAAGGGAGCGUAGGUGGAUUGUUAAGUCAGUUGUGAAAGUUUGCGGCUCAACCGUAAAAUUGCAGUUGAAACUGGCAGUCUUGAGGACAGUAGAGGUGGGCGGAAUUCGUGGUGUAGCGGUGAAAUGCUUAGAUAUCACGAAGAACUACGAUUGCGAAGGCAGUUCACUGGACUGCAACUGACACUGAGGCUCGAAAGUGUGGGUAUCAAACAGAUUAGAUACCCUUGUAGUC
Molecule: ribosomal RNA, 459 nt
Filed under: uncultured bacterium
Lineage: Bacteria
Description: partial 16S ribosomal RNA
Rfam family: Bacterial small subunit ribosomal RNA
Source: RNAcentral